Molecule: ribosomal RNA, 808 nt
Filed under: uncultured archaeon
Lineage: Archaea
Description: bacterial SSU rRNA
Rfam family: Archaeal small subunit ribosomal RNA
Source: RNAcentral
ACGGCUCAGUAACACGUAGCUAACCUACCCUCAGGACGUGGAUACCCCCGGGAAACUGGGGCUAAUCCGCGAUAGGUAUGAAGGCCUGGAAUGGUUUCAUGCCCAAUGGCACAGCGAUCAUGUUUGUUGUGUGCCUGAGGAUGGGGCUGCGGCCGAUCAGGCAGUUGGCGAGGUAACGGCUCACCAAACCUUUGACCGGUACGGGCCAUGAAAGUGGUAGCCCGGAGAUGGGCACUGAGACAGGGGCCCAGGCCCUACGGGGCGCAGCAGGCGCGAAAACUCCACAAUGUACGGAAGUACGAUGGGGUUAUCUCGAGUGCAGUCCGAUAAGGGCUGCUUUUCCAUAGAGUAAUAUCCUGUGGGAAUAAGAGGGGGGCAAGACUGGUGUCAGCCGCCGCGGUAACACCAGCCCCUCGAGUGGUGGGGACUAUUAUUUGGCCUAAAGCGUCCGUAGCUGGCUGUAUCCGUCCCCCGUUAAAUCCAGCGUCCUAAGCGUUGGACCGCGGGUGAUACCAUACAGCUAGAGGGUGGGAUAGGUGAGCGGUAUUUCUGGGGUAGGGGCGAAAUCCUUUGAUCCCAGGAGGACCACCAGUGGCGAAGGCUGCUCACUAGAACACGCCUGACGGUCAGGGACGAAAGCUGGGGCAGCGAGCCGGAUUAGAUACCCGGGUAGUCCCAGCUGUAAACGAUGCUAGCUAGGUGUUGGGUCGGCCACGCGCCGCCCCAGUGCCGCAGGGAAGCCGUUAAGCUAGCCGCCUGGGGAGUACGGCCGCAAGGCUGAAACUUAAAGGAAUUGGCGGGGGAGCAC